AGCAGCCGCGGUAAUUCCAGCUCCAAUAGCGUAUAUUAAAGUUGUUGCAGUUAAAAAGCUCGUAGUUGAAUUUCGGGGUUAGUAGGUUGGUCGUGCCACUGGUAUGUACUGGCUCUACUGAUCCCUCCUUCUUGUAGAACCGUAAUGCCAUUAACUUGGUGUUGCGGGGAAACAGGACUGUUACUUUGAAAAAAUUAGAGUGUUUAAAGCAGGCUAACGCUUGAGUACAUUAGCAUGGAAUAAUGAAAUAGGACGCUCGAUCCUAUUUUGUUGGUUUCUAGGAUUGACGUAAUGAUUAAUAGGGAUAGUUGGGGGCAUUAGUAUUCAAUUGUCAGAGGUGAAAUUCUUGGAUUUAUUGAAGACUAACUACUGCGAAAGCAUUUGCCAAGGAUGUUUUCAUUAAUCAAGAACGAAAGUUAGGGGAUCGAAGACGAUCAGAUACCGUCGUAGUCUUAACCAUAAACUAUGCCGACUAGGGAUCGGAUGAUGUUAAUCUUUUAAUGACUCAUUCGGCGCCUUA
This 520-nucleotide ribosomal RNA is filed under the name uncultured Glomus. RNAcentral's name for it is "SSU rRNA". It matches the Rfam family "Eukaryotic small subunit ribosomal RNA", at positions 569 to 1090 of the family's 1831-position model. The record is from RNAcentral. Lineage: Eukaryota; Fungi; Glomeromycota; Glomeromycetes; Glomerales; Glomeraceae.